GAUUGUGCCUUAUAACCUGCCUUUGCCUGGGGGAGUGGUGCCUCGCAUGCUGAUAACAAUUCUGGGCACGGUGAAGCCCAAUGCAAACAGAUUUCCAAAGAGGGAAUGAUGUUGCCUUCCACUUUAACCCACGCUUCAAUGAGAACAACAGGAGAGUCAUUGUUUGCAAUACAAAGCUGGAUAAUAACUGGGGAAGGGAAGAAAGACAGUCGGUUUUCCCAUUUGAAAGUGGGAAACCAUUCAAAAUACAAGUACUGGUUGAACCUGACCACUUCAAGGUUGCAGUGAAUGAUGCUCACUUGUUGCAGUACAAUCAUCGGGUUAAAAAACUCAAUGAAAUCAGCAAACUGGGAAUUUCUGGUGACAUAGACCUCACCAGUGCUUCAUAUACCAUGAUAUAAUCUGAAAGGGGCAGAUUAAAAAAAAAAAAAGAAUCUAAACCUUACAUGUGUAAAGGUUUCAUGUUCACUGUGAGUGAAAAUUUUUACAUUCAUCAAUAUCCCUCUUGUAAGUCAUCUACUUAAUAAAUAUUACAGU
This 537-nucleotide long non-coding RNA is filed under the name Homo sapiens (human). RNAcentral describes it as "long non-coding RNA NONHSAT168467.1". The record is from RNAcentral. Lineage: Eukaryota; Metazoa; Chordata; Mammalia; Primates; Hominidae.